GCGGGUUUUUUUUUCCCAAAGUACUGUAUUCAGAAAAAAAUGCAGAAUGAUUCAAAGGUUUUGUACAUGGCUUUUGCUUGAUAGUUU
Long non-coding RNA from Hippocampus comes (tiger tail seahorse), 87 nucleotides. RefSeq lists it as uncharacterized. The record is from RefSeq and is a predicted model, not a curated record. Lineage: Eukaryota; Metazoa; Chordata; Actinopteri; Syngnathiformes; Syngnathidae. The transcript has 3 exons.